This is a long non-coding RNA of Gasterosteus aculeatus aculeatus (three-spined stickleback), 343 nucleotides long. The record is from Ensembl. Lineage: Eukaryota; Metazoa; Chordata; Actinopteri; Perciformes; Gasterosteidae.
GAUGUAGCGCAGGGGAAGAGUCGUCGUCAAACUACUAUGUUUGAGUGCAACCGAGGCAAGCCCGUCAGCACAGCUCUAUCGGCCAAGCUAACGAAUCUCCUCGCUCAGUGGAUUGCCACCAGCUGCCGGCCCAUCAGCGUGGUCGAAGAUGACGGGCUCGAGCUUGUUCUUCAGGCGGCUACAGGUCUCCGUAGAUUGUGGUUCCUUCUGGACCCUGGUCCUGACACCUGCCGUGGCCAUGCUGACGCCUGCUGCUGCCAUCAUCAUUAUUUUAGAUAUUAAUCAUAUUACUGUACUCAUAAACCGACAUUACCCUCUCCUAAAAUCUCUGUGCUCUCCCUCC